Non-coding RNA from Gorilla gorilla gorilla (western lowland gorilla), 1157 nucleotides. The record is from the annotation of a RefSeq genome assembly. NCBI's taxonomy places the organism in Eukaryota, Metazoa, Chordata, Mammalia, Primates, Hominidae.
AUGGAGUUUGGGCUGAACUGGGUUUUCCUUGUUGCUAUUAUAAAAGGUGCCCAGUGUGAGGUGCAGCUGGUGGAGUCUGGGGGAGGCUUGGUACAGCCUGGGGGGUCCCUGAGACUCUCCUGUGCAGCCUCUGGAUUCACCUUCAGUAACCAUUACACGAGCUGGGUCCUCCAGGCUCCAGGGAAGGGACUGGAGUGGGUUUCAUACAUUAGUGGCGAUAGUGAUUACACAAACUACGCAGACUCUGUGAAGGGCCGAUUCACCAUCUCCAGGGACAACGCCAAGAACUCACUGUAUCUGCAAAUGAACAGCCUGAGAGCCGAGGACACGGCUGUGUAUUACUGUGUGAAACACACAGUAAAUAUCUACAUUUUUGACAAAGCAAAUAUGAAUUACUGGUAAUUCAAGAAAGGUGGGAAUUUGCUUAAACCUGAGUAUUUGUAGUCUUUGUGACUUUUUUAAAUUUUAAAUUUAAAUUUUCUUUUUUUUUUCUUUUUUUUUGAGAUGGGGUCUCACUCUGUCGUCCAGGCUGGAGUGCAGUAGCACAAUCUCAGGUCACUACAACCUCCACCUCCCGAAUUCAAACGAUUCCCCUGCCUCAGCCUCUGGUGUAGCUGGCAUUACAAGUGUGUGCCACCACGCCCAGCUAAUUUAUGUAUUUUUAGUAGAGAGGAGGUUUCACUGUGUUGCCCAGGCUGGUCCCAAACUCCUUGACCUCAAGUGAUCUGCCCACCUUGGCCUCCCAAAGUGCUGGGAUUACAGGUGUGAGCCACAGCACCUGGCCUUAUUUUUAUUUUUUUGAGACAGACUCUCAGUCUGUCGCCCAGGUUGGAGUGCUGUGGCAUGACCUCCGCUCACUGCAACCUCCACCUCCCAGAUUCCAGCGAUUCUAAUGCCUCAGCCUCCUGAGUAGCUGGGGUUACUAGACCCGGCUAAUUUUUGUUGUAUUUUUUUAGUAGAGACUGGGUUUCCCCAUGUUGGCCAGGCUGCUCUGGAACUCCUGGCCUCUAGUGAUCCACCUGCCUCGUCCUCCCAAAGUGCUGGAAUUACAGGCAUGAGCCACUGCCCCCAGCCAAUCUUUGUGAUAUUUUGAAAUUGACGUUUAUAUUUUGUUCAGAGUCAAAGCUAAAAUAGAAUUGUUUGAAAAUUAAUAUUUC